Molecule: long non-coding RNA, 895 nt
Organism: Coccinella septempunctata (seven-spotted ladybird)
Lineage: Eukaryota; Metazoa; Arthropoda; Insecta; Coleoptera; Coccinellidae
Exons: 5
Source: RefSeq, a predicted model, not a curated record
GCAUAUUUACCAGUAGUUGAUCGGUUCGCGUAUUGGACGUAUCGUGAUUUAUUUUUGUGCCUUUUAUUGGGAAGAAUUCUUCAAAUCGAACUAUGGAAAAUUUGGAACCCCUAAGGUUUCAGGUUUUCGGCAAGCCCAUAUAUGAGAAGAUAAUUUUCACAGUAAGAAUGAAGUCAAUCGGACAUCGAGACGCUUGUUCAGAAGAGUUUUCGAAUACUUAUUUCACUCGUACAGAGCCGAGGCAAUUGGCAACUACGGCGACGUAGCUGAAGGCAGCAAACAGAUAACAUAAAGACCCAUACCAAGCCAGGACUCAGAACUCCGGCAGUGCUAGAUAUGUACAUUGACCACUACUCCACCGAGUCAGCUACACCAAUGGUUCUUGAACUCGAAUGAAGAGAUUUCCCGUGGUUUCACGAGCUUCUGUGUCCUGCUACCAACUUCGGAGAAUCCAUUAUAUCUGAGAACGUGAUUGACUUCACCUGCAGCAAGAAUUGGAAGCCAUUAUGUGUUGCUGAAUUGGACAGUAUUAAUUAGAUGGAUCAUACACCUUAUUUACGUCCAGUUGCAGGAAAGUCUAUAAAAAUUUAAUACUUCAUUAAAAUCUUAAUCCUCCAUUUUCCCCUUCAAAAAUGACAGUUUCAAAUUUUGAUGGGACAUCAAAUCUUAAUGGACUUUCUUGCAACUGGACGUUAGAUAGCUAAUACUUGUAUUAUAAUUUUAUUAGUUAUUCAAAUUUUAUAAAUUUUAUGGAGUUAAUGAAUUUUGUAUUUGAGAUUUUUUGCUUUAAAUCCGUUCGAUGUAACCCUAUUUUUCAACUUUUUUUUGCAUUUGAGAUUUGUUCUGGUUUAACAUUUCUAUCUGUUUGUUAAUAAUUAAAUUCUGAGAGUAAAAA